UUCUCGAAUUUAAAAGAGUUAAUUAAUUAAAAAAUUUAUUGUAGCAAAAAUAUUUUUCAUAAUUAAUUAGAAAUGAAAUGUUAAUCGUUUUUAAAUAUAUCUAGUUUUUUUAGAAAAAAAUUUAAUUUUAAAUUAAAUUAAUUAAAAAAUUAAUUAAAAAAUUUUUUAAAAUUUAAAUUUAAUAUUUUAAGGGAUAAGCUUUAAUUUAAAAUAUUUAUAGUUAAAUAUUAAAUUUUUUGAAAAUUUUAAAAUUUAUAUUGUUUAAAAAUUAUAAUUUUUUAUAAAUAAUUUCAUAAAAAAUAAAAUUUAAUUUUAAUUUAAUUUUUUAUAAAAAAAUAAAAUUUAAAAAAAUAAUUUUAGUUAUAAUGAUAAAAUUAGUAUAUAAAUUUUAUUUAAUUAAUAUUAUAAAAUAUUUUUAAAUGAAAAAUUAAUUAUAAGGAAUUCGGCAAAAAUUUAUAUUCACUUGUUUAUCAAAAACAUGUCUUUUUGAAAUAAUUUAAAGUCUAAUCUGCCCACUGAUGAAAAUUGAAGGGCUGCAGUAUUUUGACUGUACAAAGGUAGCAUAAUCAUUAGUCUCUUAAUUGGUGACUUGUAUGAAAGAUUGGAUGAGAUAUAAGCUGUCUUAUUUUUAUUUAUAGAAUUUAAUUUUUU
Molecule: ribosomal RNA, 651 nt
Filed under: Grapholita molesta (oriental fruit moth)
Lineage: Eukaryota; Metazoa; Arthropoda; Insecta; Lepidoptera; Tortricidae
Description: partial 16S ribosomal RNA
Source: RNAcentral